This 200-nucleotide ribosomal RNA is filed under the name uncultured bacterium. Its description in RNAcentral is "partial 16S ribosomal RNA". It matches the Rfam family "Bacterial small subunit ribosomal RNA", at positions 8 to 221 of the family's 1533-position model. The record is from RNAcentral.
AGAGUUUGAUCAUGGCUCAGAAUCAACGCUGGCGGCGUGCCUAACACAUGCAAGUCGAACGAGAAAGGGGAGCAAUCCCUGAGUAAAGUGGCGCACGGGUGAGUAACACGUGACUAACCUACCCCUUGAGUGGGGGAUAACCUAGAGAAAUCUGGGCUAAUACCGCAUAAUACCCACGGGUCAAAGGAGCAAUUCGCUUA